UAAUAAGUGUUUUAUGGCACUUUUUAAAUCCAUAUCCACCUUGUGUGCAAUGUCAGUCGGUUCUUUCUUUUUCGUCAAGAAAAAGAAAGGUCGACCAAACAUCAACUUAUUCUAAUUGAACUUUUGUCUGAAAACUAUUAUGAAUAAACUAAUUCAAAAUA
This 161-nucleotide unclassified non-coding RNA is filed under the name uncultured fungus. Its description in RNAcentral is "sequence contains ITS1". The record is from RNAcentral. Lineage: Eukaryota; Fungi.